This 209-nucleotide ribosomal RNA is filed under the name uncultured bacterium. RNAcentral describes it as "partial 16S ribosomal RNA". It matches the Rfam family "Bacterial small subunit ribosomal RNA", at positions 1284 to 1500 of the family's 1533-position model. The record is from RNAcentral.
UGUCCCAGUUCGGACUGGAGUCUGCAACCCGACUCCACGAAGUUGGAUUCGCUAGUAAUCGCGCAUCAGCCAUGGCGCGGUGAAUACGUUCCCGGGCCUUGUACACACCGCCCGUCAAGCCAUGGGAGCCGGGGGCGCCUGAAGUCCGGGACCGCGAGGACCGGCCUAAGGCGAAACUGGUGACUGGGGCUAAGUCGUAACAAGGUAUC